GCUGGCGGCAUGCCUAACACAUGCAAGUCGAACGCUCUUGGGGCUUCGGUCCCAAGGAGUGGCGCACGGGUGAGUAGCGCGUGGGAACCUGCCCUGUUGUGGGGGAUAACCGAGGGAAACUUCGGCUAAUACCGCAUGCGCCCCGGAGCAAUCCGGGGGAAAGAUUUAUCGCAGCAGGAGGGGCCCGCGUCGGAUUAGCUGGUUGGUGGGGUAACGGCCUACCAAGGCGAUGAUCCGUAGCUGGUCUGAGAGGAUGAUCAGCCACACUGGGACUGAGACACGGCCCAGACUCCUACGGGAGGCAGCAGUGGGGAAUAUUGGACAAUGGGCGCAAGCCUGAUCCAGCAAUGCCGCGUGAGUGAUGAAGGCCUUAGGGUUGUAAAGCUCUUUCGGCGGGGACGAUGAUGACGGUACCCGCAGAAGAAGCCCCGGCUAACUUCGUGCCAGCAGCCGCGGUAAUACGAAGGGGGCGAGCGUUGUUCGGAUUUACUGGGCGUAAAGGGCGCGUAGGCGGCGCCGGAAGUCAGGCGUGAAAGCCCCGGGCUCAACCUGGGAAUGGCGCUUGGGACUCUGGUGCUCGAGUUCGGGAGAGGAGAGUGGAAUUCCCA
This 608-nucleotide ribosomal RNA is filed under the name uncultured soil bacterium. RNAcentral's name for it is "bacterial SSU rRNA". It matches the Rfam family "Bacterial small subunit ribosomal RNA", at positions 35 to 672 of the family's 1533-position model. The record is from RNAcentral.